Nylanderia fulva is the source of this 230-nucleotide non-coding RNA. The record is from RefSeq and is a predicted model, not a curated record. Lineage: Eukaryota; Metazoa; Arthropoda; Insecta; Hymenoptera; Formicidae.
UUUGGCAAUCACGUCGCGACAUGUUACUGUUCUUAUUAACUGAUCAACAGUGAUGCGUAUAUCAAGUACGUCUUACGAGUGUAUAUUACGAGUGCGUAUUAGAGUGUCUCUCCGCACAAGAAAAGGAAAAGAUCCAUUUUUGUCUACUUGCCUUCUACGUUUCAACUUUCUACAAGAAAGGUGCGCAUGUGAACGUGAUACGUUGCAAUAUCAUUUCUACAAGACUGAAG